CGACGAAAAUCGGGAUCGAAUCCCACUACGGUAACAUACGAGGGUAUCCAAACAACACAUACUAUCCAAAUAAAAAAAUAUGGAGUUCCGGUUUAGACCAUGGGCGUGCGACGACCCCGAUGAAAUUCGGGAUAUCACGGUCUUCGUUAAUGUUAAUAAGCGUCCGUCAGAUCAGUUGGCGAAACGCAAUAUCCGCACAAUAAGAUGUCUGCGACCCGAAAGAAUAUUCAAAAAUAUGGACGGCACUCCAGUACAGCAUGUGCAUGGUUGGACCUGUUGACAUUUUUAGAAACGCAUCUUGGUCUAUUAUACAGAGUAUUGUUGUACUGCUCCAAAGUGCUUGUUGACAGACUGAAACCACUUGCUUGCAGCUCAUAAGGUUUACUUCUUGAGAGCAGGCAGCUACAAAAUGGAAGGUCAACAAAUCCAGUAUACUUGAAAAGCAAGAAAGAAACACCAGAAAAUAUGAAAAGACAGAAAUACAAGGGAACUUGAAUAAAAAAAAACUUUUAAGGAUAGGAAUUCAGGAUUUACUUGGAAACUAAAUUUUUUUUGAGAGCAGCAGUGAUUGACUAAGCUCUGUUACUUUAAGAGAUAAUGUAUUAUCACAUUGGUGUUGUUAUUGUCGAGCCAGCUUGUGGAAGCGAAGACAUAGUUGUCCAAAUGUCUGUUCGGUGUAUGUGCGUGCGUGCGUGCGUCAGGAUUUGUUUGUCCAGACCAUAUCUUGGACAUGCAUGGAGCAAUCUUGUUUAUAUUUGGUAUGAAUGUUAACCUCAGUGAGACGGAGUGUCAUGCACAAACCCCAGGUUGCUAUCUCAAAGGCCAAGGUCACACUUACAGGUCAAAGGUCAAAUUCAAAAAUGACUGUCUGGAGCAUUUCUUCUUCAUGCAUGGAGGGAUUUUGAUGUAACUUGGCACAAUUGUUCACCAUCAUGAGAUGGAGUGUGAUGCGCAAGAACCAGGUCCCUAGGUCUAAGGUCAAGGUCACACUUAGAGGUCAAAGGAUACAAGAAUGACAACUUUGUCCGUAGUAUUUCUUCUUCAUGCAUGGAGGGAUUUUGAUGUAACUUGGCACAAAUGUUCACCACCAUGAGACGGAGUGUCAUGCAGAAGAACCAGUUCCCUAGGUCUAAGAUCAAGGCCACACUUAGAGGUCAAAAGUCAGAUACAAGAAUGACUUUGUCUGGAGCAUUUCUUUUUGAUGCAUAGAGGGAUUUUGAUGUAACUUGGCACAAUUGUUCAUCAUCAUGCGACAGAGGGUCAUGCAUAAGAUCCUAGAAUUACUUCCCUUUGUUGUUACUAUAAAUAGCUUACAUUUGUAACUUUUUUAUUACUGGUCAUAGGGAAAAAUCAAUACCACUUUUCUGUAGUACAACAUGCAUGUUACAUCCAAUUUUCAGGUGUAUUUUGACCUAUCUCUGGUGGUGCGGAUUUUUGUGUGGACUUAGAAUUUUUUUAUAUAUAUAUUUUUUUUUUAAUUUUUUUUUUUUUAAAUUUACGUUCCUUUGUUGUUACUGUAAAUAAUUUAUAUUGUAACUUUUUGCAAUCUCUUUUAUUUGGCAUAAAUGUUUGCCUCAAUGAGACAAGGAGUGUCAUGUACAAUUCCCAGUCCUUUUGACAGCUGACGGGCUCGACAAAUUGCCCAUGGGCAUCUAGUUCUCAUAAAACAUACUAAAGUUUCAUUAAUCUUAUUUUAGAUAAUUGUUUUCUGGUUUAUUUUGUAAAGAAUGUCUACUACAUUGUAAUUAACAUAGUUACAGUAAAGUAAUAUUUUUCAUGA
Long non-coding RNA from Mercenaria mercenaria, 1780 nucleotides. RefSeq lists it as uncharacterized. The record is from RefSeq and is a predicted model, not a curated record. NCBI's taxonomy places the organism in Eukaryota, Metazoa, Mollusca, Bivalvia, Venerida, Veneridae. The transcript is spliced from 4 exons.